RNAcentral lists this ribosomal RNA (468 nucleotides) under uncultured bacterium. RNAcentral's name for it is "partial 16S ribosomal RNA". It matches the Rfam family "Bacterial small subunit ribosomal RNA", at positions 28 to 507 of the family's 1533-position model. The record is from RNAcentral.
GACGAACGCUGGCGGCGUGCUUAACACAUGCAAGUCGAACGGUGAUGCCCCAGCUUGCUGGAGUGGAUCAGUGGCGAACGGGUGAGUAACACGUGAGCAACCUGCCCCAGACUCUGGAAUAAGCGCUGGAAACGGCGUCUAAUACUGGAUACGAAACUGGCCCGCAUGGGCAUGGUUUGGAAAGUUUUUCGGUUUGGGAUGGGCUCGCGGCCUAUCAGCUUGUUGGUGAGGUAAUGGCUCACCAAGGCGACGACGGGUAGCCGGCCUGAGAGGGCGACCGGCCACACUGGGACUGAGACACGGCCCAGACUCCUACGGGAGGCAGCAGUGGGGAAUAUUGCACAAUGGGCGAAAGCCUGAUGCAGCGACGCCGCGUGAGGGAUGACGACCUUCGGGUUGUAAACCUCUUUCAGCAGGGAAGAAGCGAAAGUGACGGUACCUGCAGAAGAAGCACCGGCUAACUACGUG